AAAGACCCAUUGAGGAGAAGGU
Molecule: microRNA, 22 nt
Filed under: Homo sapiens (human)
Lineage: Eukaryota; Metazoa; Chordata; Mammalia; Primates; Hominidae
Description: hsa-miR-3667-5p
Source: miRBase by way of RNAcentral